Molecule: unclassified non-coding RNA, 373 nt
Filed under: uncultured fungus
Lineage: Eukaryota; Fungi
Description: partial contains small subunit ribosomal RNA, internal transcribed spacer 1, and 5.8S ribosomal RNA
Rfam family: Eukaryotic small subunit ribosomal RNA (bases 1-73)
Source: RNAcentral
ACAAACUUGGUCAUUUAGAGGAAGUAAAAGUCGUAACAAGGUUUCCGUAGGUGAACCUGCGGAAGGAUCAUUAUUGAAUAACCUUGAUGGGUUGUAGCUGGCCUCUUGAGGCAUGUGCACGCUCAUCUUGAUUCUAUUCAUCCACCUGUGCACCUAAUGUAGUUUCUUACUCUCUGUUUUCAGUUGAAAAAUACUGGAUUUGAGGAUUGCCUGCUGGCUUUCUUCUGCUUGAGAGAACAAGGGAACUAUGUAUUUUAUCAUAAACCACAUAGUAUGUCAAUUGAAUGUAAUAAAUGGGCCUUUUGUGCCUAUAACAAUCUAUACAACUUUCAGCAACGGAUCUCUUGGCUCUCGCAUCGAUGAAGAACGCAGC